UUGUAAUGAUAGGGAGAAGAGAUCGCUCAGUGAGUGCACAGGACGGAUAUUAGCAGAUCAAAUAAAGCGAUAGAUGGCACAUAAAAAACAAUGAAAAUUUAGGAGGAAUAAAACAUUAAAAAAAAGGGAUACGAUCAGGCAAGAUGUAGGACCCAUGUAAAUAUUGGAGCAACUUUUCAGCGGUGGAGAAACUCAAGGAGCGGGAAGGCCUGGAAUCGGACACCGAGGUUGCUUUGUUUCUUAUUGAUAGCUGAAUGUUGACAGUGAUCAAGUCUUCACAGAAGUGCAGGGGCAAUUCUGCCAGCAGGGGCUAAACACUCCAGCUCUGAGGAUGGUGCAUUCGAGCUGAAACAGUGAACUCAUCCAAACAUCAGCCCUCUCUGACCAUCUCCGGCAAACAUCCAUUAUCCAGAGCCAUCCGCUUCCUCAGGCUGAUCUAUGGAGGAAAACUGUUGUUGUUUUCAGCAUGCCAGGAGAUGAGUUUCUCUCUGCUCUUGAACAACAGGAUUGGACAUCAAGUGUUGCUCUUAAGGUUAAUUAGAAAAAUUAUCUCAUCAGAGGAGCACCCCUCCUCCUCCUGCCAGAGACAUGCUAAUCUCUGACAAGUCUGCUCUGGGUCUCUCUCUGUCAGAGUAGAAUACAUGGAGAACCCACGGCCCCUGAAAAGAUCCGCUUCGCUGAGCCACUUUGACUGGGCUGCUAAUAAAAAGACAGGAAAGAGUGUGACCUGUUUGGACUCACUCACAACCACUUUGUAUCCCACCUAUAUCUGUCACCUCAUCUCCCUCUCUCUCUUUCUAUCCCUCACUCAGUCUCUUUAUCUAUAUGUGGCUUUUGGUCUUCUCAGAUUUCUCUUUUUUUGGUACCUGUUCCUUCUGUGCUGCUCAGCUAAUGUUGGCACAAAUGAAGCAGAACGGCUUAUUUUCUCUCUCCCGCAUCACUCUGGCCUCUCUUGCUUGACCGUAUCUAUUUUUUUCCCUCUUUCUCUUUUAAACUGAAGUUCCUUUCUGUCCAAAUGCUUUUAAUCUUUUACCUCUUCCAUGCCUUUCAUUUUAUUUUCCUCUCUUUUGCAUCUUGCUACUCUUUCAGUCAGAUUCGUCUUUGCUCCCAUUAAUAUAAAGGGAUUGAUCGCCAAAAAAAAAAAAAAAAAAAGUAAUUAUGCUGUUAUUUUUCUUCUGAUGUGAUCUCAUUAGUAAGUGUAGGUAAGCAUACUUAAAAUGUGUUUCUACGUUUGUGUACGAUUGCAUAAACACUGAAAUGAACAUUAUAUAUAAAUACACACAAUGUAUUUACAGCAUCUUCAUGUAAUUAAUACAUUUGAUCAAUGUGAUAAAUCUUAAUUGCUAUCACAUUUAUUUAAUACAUUUAUGUAGUUUGAUAUUAUAACAGUUUUAUUUUGUGUGAUUUCUGGUGUUUUAUAUCAAAGGAUUCCAUCAUUUUACUUAAGCCUAAAC
Long non-coding RNA from Cyprinus carpio carpio, 1454 nucleotides. The record is from Ensembl. NCBI's taxonomy places the organism in Eukaryota, Metazoa, Chordata, Actinopteri, Cypriniformes, Cyprinidae.